This 292-nucleotide unclassified non-coding RNA is filed under the name plant metagenome. RNAcentral describes it as "partial contains small subunit ribosomal RNA, internal transcribed spacer 1, and 5.8S ribosomal RNA". The record is from RNAcentral.
UUUCCGUAGGUGAACCCGCGGAAGGAUCAUUAUUGAAUAAACCUGAUGUGGUUGUAGCUGGCCCUUUCGGGAGCAUGUGCACACCCGUCGUCUUUAUCUUUCCACCUGUGCACCUUUUGUAGACCUGGAUGUAACACUUUCCGAGGCAACUCGGUCGGGAGGAAUGCUGUCAGCUUUCCUUGAAUGUCCAGGCCUAUGUUUUCAUAUACCCCAAAGAAUGUAACAGAAUGUAUUAUUGGGCCUUGUGCCUAUAAACUAUAUACAACUUUCAGCAACGGAUCUCUUGGCUCUC